This 245-nucleotide long non-coding RNA is filed under the name Hordeum vulgare. RNAcentral describes it as "long non-coding RNA (HVUL_LNC018883)". Lineage: Eukaryota; Viridiplantae; Streptophyta; Magnoliopsida; Poales; Poaceae. The record is from RNAcentral.
GGCCAUGGCACCUUCGUCGGACUCGUCAUCGACGUCGUCGUCCGUGAUUGCCUGCCACACUCGAAGGGUUCGGAGAAUAAUCUUCAUCUUCACCGCCCACACGCCGUAGUUGGCGUCGGUGAGCAUCGGGUACUGGAUGGGGAUGUUGCGAUGCGCCUGGACGUUAGCGCCGCUCGUUCCUCCACCACUGGUUGCUAACUUGACGCCCUUCUUCACCUUGUCGCCGUUCUUGUUCUCCUUGGCAC